GACGAACGCUGGCGGCGUGCUUAACACAUGCAAGUCGAACGGAAAGGCCCUGCUUUUGUGGGGUGCUCGAGUGGCGAACGGGUGAGUAACACGUGAGUAACCUGCCCUUGACUUUGGGAUAACUUCAGGAAACUGGGGCUAAUACCGGAUAGGAGCUCCUGCUGCAUGGUGGGGGUUGGAAAGUUUCGGCGGUUGGGGAUGGACUCGCGGCUUAUCAGCUUGUUGGUGGGGUAGUGGCUUACCAAGGCUUUGACGGGUAGCCGGCCUGGGAGGGUGACCGGCGUCCUUAGGACUGAGAUAGGGCGCAGACUGCUACGGGAGGCAGCAGUGGGGAAUAUUGCACAAUGGGCGGAAGCGUGAUGCGGCAACGCCGCGUGCGGGAUGACGGCCUUCGAGUUGUGAACCACUUUCGCCUGUGACGAAGCGUGAGUGACGGUAAUGGGUAAAGAAGCACCGGCUAACUACGUG
RNAcentral lists this ribosomal RNA (468 nucleotides) under uncultured bacterium. RNAcentral describes it as "partial 16S ribosomal RNA". It matches the Rfam family "Bacterial small subunit ribosomal RNA", at positions 28 to 507 of the family's 1533-position model. The record is from RNAcentral.